Molecule: non-coding RNA, 1387 nt
Organism: Paramuricea clavata
Lineage: Eukaryota; Metazoa; Cnidaria; Anthozoa; Malacalcyonacea; Plexauridae
Source: the annotation of a GenBank genome assembly
CAUUCGAUAAGCUCUCCAGGGCUCCAACAAUAUCCCCCAGUUAACUUCUUGUCCAUCAUGUUGAGAUCACCACACCAAAUCGGUCACCAACACUGCAACCACAACACCAAUAAAGAUUGUAAAUUUCUGUCUCGUCCAUCGUGACCAAUAAGAGGAAAGUCAUUGCCAUCAACUUCACCAUCACGGUGCCAAGUCAGACGUGUGAAUCGCUGUUUGAAUUCAUUUUCCUCAACACAAAAUCAGUCUUCACCACCUCAACCACGACACCAGUCAACCAUUAUGUUUCUCUUGUGGCAGGUAGCUAUCACCGACAACGUCAACGUCUUCAUCACCCAAACUGGCAGAAUAUCAUUCACGCUUAGUCCAAGUUCUAUUUUAUUUUCAUCAACAGCGGGGCAGUCUUCGCCACUUCAGUUCUUGAUGGCGGUCAAAACUCGGUUUCUCAUCGCUUCAGACCAGACCAGUACGGCCAAUACCAUGAAAGUCUACCACUUCAAAGAACAGUUGUUGUUCAGGAUCUGACAUUCGAUAAGCUCUCCAGCACUGCAACAAUAUCCCCCAGUUACGUCAUUGUUCAUCAUGUUGAGAUCACCACACCAAAUCGGUCACCAUCACUGCAACCACAACGCCAAUAAAGAUUGUAAAUUUCUGUCUCGUCCAUCGUGAUCAAUAAGAGGAAAGUCAUUGCCAUCAACUUCACCAUCACGGUGCCAAGUCAGACGUGUGAAUCGCUGUUUGAAUUCAUUUUCAUCAACACCAAACCGGUCUUCACCAUCUCAACCACGACACCAGUCAACCAUUAUGUUUCUCUUGUUGCAGGUAGCUAUCACCGACAACGUCAACGUCUUCAUCACCUCAAUUGACACAAUAUCAUUCACGCUUAGUCCAAGUUCUAUUUUAUUUUCAUCAACAGCGGGCAGUCUUCACCACUUCAGUUCUUGAUGCCGGUCAAAACUCGGUUUCUCAACGCUUCAGACCAGUACGGCCAAUACCAUGAAAGUUUACCACUUCAAAGAACAGUUGUUGUUCAGGAUCUGACAUUCGAUAAGCUCUCCAGCACUGCAACAAUAUCCCCCAGUUACGUUAUUGUUCAUCAUGUUGAGAUCACCACACCAAAUUGGUCACCAUCAUAUCACUGCAACCACAACACCAAUAAAAGAUUGUAAAUUUCUGUCGUACAUCUUAAUGACAGGAAAGUCAUCAUCAUCAGCUCCACCAUAAUGAUACCAGUUAAGGUUGUCCAUUGCGGUUUGAAUUCCCUUUCAUCAGCACCGAGCAAUCGUCGCCAUUUCAACCAUGACACCAAUCAACCAUUAAGUUUCUCUCGUUUUAGGUAAUUAUCACUGACAACAUGAAAGUCUUCAUCACUUCAAUUAAGACAUCAUCA